ACACGCCCUUACCAGGAUGUACCACUACGAAAUACGUUCGCUGGCCUCUGCAUCUCCAUAUUGCUUCGCUGCGCUUGGCCCGUAUCCGAAUUCGGCUCUCGCGGUGUAUACGCUGGCGGCGGUUGAUCUACUUCGACAGCGGAGGGAGAGGUGUCAGUUUCCAUGACUUUCCGCCUUUUACGACGCACAAAGCAUCCCAAGCAUCUACGUGGGGUGUGCGUAAUGUCAGCGCGGACAUCGCAAAGGGCAAUAUAUAGGAAGUUAACGAAUUGGGGUUCAAGGAGAAGGCCAGCAACACGUACACAAUCAACACCAAUAAUCCGAUGAACACACCUACGAGUGGCCCAAGGAUGUCUUUGCCGGGACAGUAGUGACUGCGGCCAAACUUGUCUCUGCAUCUGUGUGGUUGUUAUGCUGUUAGAUGUAGAAAUGUUUGCCAUGCUGAUUGGGGGUGUUUCGAAAAGAUGGAGAGGGCAGGGAGGGGUUCAUGUAUAUUAUACCUUCUGGCAGUUUGUCGGGGAUAUGUGAAGGAAGUUGAAGAUGGUGUGGACCAAUAGUCAUCCAUACUGGCGAUAUUCUUUUUCAAAAAUGCGUCCCUUUUAAACGGGGGAUAAUAGCCCGCCGGGAAUGUGGGGACAACCUUGUCGUAAUAUAAUCGCAGCGCUUUUAUACGCAAUUCUCUCGCCGCGGAAAUUCAAGCGCAACCCAGCUCAAUUGUGUCAUUGGUGUAAAGCUUCGCCUUGGCCCCAUUCCCCGUAUACAACA
This 765-nucleotide small RNA is filed under the name Histoplasma ohiense. Its description in RNAcentral is "hypothetical lncRNA". Lineage: Eukaryota; Fungi; Ascomycota; Eurotiomycetes; Onygenales; Ajellomycetaceae. The record is from RNAcentral.